UGGCCCGUAGUUCAACUGGUAGAACGUCUGACUCUGGAUCAGAAGGUUCGGGGUUCGAGUCCCUGCGGGCCAG
RNAcentral lists this transfer RNA (73 nucleotides) under Phycisphaerae bacterium. RNAcentral's name for it is "tRNA-Gln". It matches the Rfam family "tRNA". From Rfam's summary of the family: Transfer RNA (tRNA) molecules are approximately 80 nucleotides in length. Their secondary structure includes four short double-helical elements and three loops (D, anti-codon, and T loops). Further hydrogen bonds mediate the characteristic L-shaped molecular structure. tRNAs have two regions of fundamental functional importance: the anti-codon, which is responsible for specific mRNA codon recognition, and the 3' end, to which the tRNAs corresponding amino acid is attached (by aminoacyl-tRNA synthetases). tRNAs cope with the degeneracy of the genetic code in two manners: having more than one tRNA (with a specific anti-codon) for a particular amino acid; and 'wobble' base-pairing, i.e. permitting non-standard base-pairing at the 3rd anti-codon position. Lineage: Bacteria; Pseudomonadati; Planctomycetota; Phycisphaerae. The record is from RNAcentral.